RNAcentral lists this ribosomal RNA (506 nucleotides) under uncultured bacterium. RNAcentral describes it as "partial 16S ribosomal RNA". It matches the Rfam family "Bacterial small subunit ribosomal RNA", at positions 29 to 523 of the family's 1533-position model. The record is from RNAcentral.
AUUGAACGCUGGCGGCAGGCCUAACACAUGCAAGUCGAACGGCAGCACAGAAGAGCUUGCUCUUUGGGUGACGAGUGGCGGACGGGUGAGUAACGUCUGGGAAACUGCCCGAUGGAGGGGGAUAACUACUGGAAACGGUAGCUAAUACCGCAUAACGUCGCAAGACCAAAGUGGGGGACCUUCGGGCCUCACACCAUCGGAUGUGCCCAGAUGGGAUUAGCUAGUAGGUGGGGUAAUGGCUCACCUAGGCGACGAUCCCUAGCUGGUCUGAGAGGAUGACCAGCCACACUGGAACUGAGACACGGUCCAGACUCCUACGGGAGGCAGCAGUGGGGAAUAUUGCACAAUGGGCGCAAGCCUGAUGCAGCCAUGCCGCGUGUAUGAAGAAGGCCUUCGGGUUGUAAAGUACUUUCAGCGGGGAGGAAGGCGGUGGAGUUAACAGCUUCACCGAUUGACGUUACCCGCAGAAGAAGCACCGGCUAACUCCGUGCCAGCCGCCGCGGUAA